UCAGUGGUAGUUCAGUGGUAGAAUUCUCCCCUUCCUUGCAGGAGACCUGGGUGCAAUUCCCAGCCAGUGCA
This 71-nucleotide transfer RNA is filed under the name Loxodonta africana (African savanna elephant). It matches the Rfam family "tRNA". Rfam says of the family: Transfer RNA (tRNA) molecules are approximately 80 nucleotides in length. Their secondary structure includes four short double-helical elements and three loops (D, anti-codon, and T loops). Lineage: Eukaryota; Metazoa; Chordata; Mammalia; Proboscidea; Elephantidae. The record is from Rfam by way of RNAcentral.